UUUGAGUUCCUUCAUCUACAUUUCUGCGGUUGGUGAGUCCUCAUGAUUCGAGGACCCGUGUCUCCAAUUUUGUCUUGUUAAUAGAUGGUUGUUUACUUUUAGUUCAAUACGAGUCAGUUGGGGAUCUAUCUCAAUGGCUCCUCAGUCCUAUGUAGUAGAGGCUUUGUUAGACUAGUGUACCAGCAUGUAUAGAGAUUUUAGUAUUUUGUUUGUACAGGGC
This 220-nucleotide long non-coding RNA is filed under the name Capsicum annuum. RNAcentral's name for it is "long non-coding RNA (CANN_LNC013624)". The record is from RNAcentral. Lineage: Eukaryota; Viridiplantae; Streptophyta; Magnoliopsida; Solanales; Solanaceae.